This 2291-nucleotide long non-coding RNA is filed under the name Nasonia vitripennis (jewel wasp). RNAcentral describes it as "uncharacterized LOC103316685, transcript variant X1". Lineage: Eukaryota; Metazoa; Arthropoda; Insecta; Hymenoptera; Pteromalidae. The record is from RNAcentral.
CAGAUGUGCUGCAGGCAGAGGACUCGGGUUCGGGUGCUGAGGUAAGCUCCGCGAUUGAUUUGCAUAUAUUGCAUAAAAAAAAUUCUAUUAAUUGCGGAAUCGUUAACAAUGUUAACAAUCUCACUCCAAAAAAUUGUGGGUGUUUUUGAUUAUUAACGAAAAAUCAAAAACUUUUUGCACUGUGAGAGACGCAUAUAUAUAUAUACAGUUUUCUCAGCAGAUAAUUACAUUUGAGGAAUGAAAUUGAUGCGAAUCGUUUUCAAUUUAAUUGCGGAUUAUAAAUAUCAAGGUCUAAGUUCAUGAUUCGCGAUAAUUAUUUAAUAAUAAAUUAAUUUAAUAUUCUGGGUAAUCGACAAGCCAGUUCGCUGAUCUGCGUCCCAUUUUAGAGCAUCUGCGCACGUCCAGUGCGCGGGCUAACGCGCGAAUUUCAAAUUUUGCGUUCUGCUGCAGCGGUGCGUGAAUAUUUAUGAAUAACAAACAUAACCUGAAAAGCUGCAGAGCAGACAAGAAUGAAAAUAAGAAGAACGAGUGCUGCCCGAGAGAGAAUCCGUCGGCGCGAGCACCGAAGAGACAAAUAAAAUAGAAUAGAUGCCACAUAGAAGACUGAUCAAGAAUUUGGUUAAAAUCAGAGCUCAGCAAUCUUGCAAAAUUUUAACAUGUCCGUUGAAGCACUCAGCGAUUCCGAGCUUCGGACUAAACUUUGUGAUGGGUAUGAAAAUUCUUGUCAAAAGGCUGAAGUCACUCUUGGAAUCUCAGGUGGAUCAGCAGGAUCUCGGACCUCGAUGGCUGCAAGGUAGAGCUAUCACUAUGAUAUGAUACAGAUGACGAUAUCUCUGCAAGUGCAAACAAUAAAAAGAAGAAAGCUCCUCUUAAUACCGUAGACAAACUUUAGCUAAUCCUAUAUGAUAUGCCACCGCCUGCAACAGUGCCAAUCCCAUCUACGCUUGCAGCUCAAAACACAGCAAAGAAGCGAAUGUCUAGAAAUUUACAGGCUGCAGACUCAGAAGAUUUGGAUGUAAAUAAUGUUGUACCCAUAAUUCAUACAUCUCCACCUUUAAAUAAAUGUCAAAGCAAGACCUGACGUUAAACCUUGUUGGCUUGUCACCAGGAGAAUAUAUAUAAUUAGAAUAUUUAUAGUAUUAGUUGGUACAUGGCUGGGCGUGAAACCUCUGAUGCUGUUGCCAUUGUGUAAGGAAUAAAAAGGUUUAGAAAAAUUCUUGGGAAAUAUAGAUGCAAGUAAGGUUCCAGAAUACUUAAGGAAGGAUUUGAAGGAAUUCGCAGAAAUGUUAUAUAUAAUUGAAAAAGGUCUAUCGCAGUAUACAAAAGUAAGAAUCAAAAAAGCUUGCAUACAGUAAAGGAAAAGAAGCUGAAAAGGGUAUUGAAAAGAUUUUCAAAUAAGUAUCUGUGUUCAAUGGAAAAUGAUGUUGUGAGAGACCGAAUACUUAAUAUAAAAGGUCGAAAUGUCAUUUUUAACAAAACUUGUGGCCAAGUUAUGGAUUCAUCAUUUACAGAAUUAUGCAAUUGGCCACAACAAAGUGCAUCACGCUUAAUUUGCAUGAUGUAUGACCUGUUGCAAUGAAAACUCAGUAUCUAGGAGUAGCAGCUGGAAUUCAAAGUGAUAUUGAAAACUUGGUUGAAGUAAUGGAAGUGUGGAAUGUUUCCUGAAGGAAUGUUGAUUGACAAUGUUGUUGAAGGUGCUUAACGAGAAUUGUCUUGGGAAGCUGAUCAUGACAAGGAAGCUGAGUGCACUAGGUUAUAUAGAAAAUAUGCGUAACCCUAUUCAGAGUAUUAUGUACAAGAAAUCAUUGUUUUAGAUAACACUGUUAGAUUUUGGAGCAAGUCAAAGUUACACUAAAGAUUUUAUGGAUAAAUAUAUUGAAAUAAUCAAUGGAGCUAGGAGAUAGACGUAAAGUAUUAACUAUAUCAAAAGAAAUGGGAUUUCUAACUAGAUAUGAAUCAAAGAUCAUGGAAGAAGCACAUGUAGGUGGUUUUGCCAAGUAUUUCAAAAAGAUCAUGAAUAUUUCAAUUUUGAAGAUGUUACAAAGUGGACACAGGCAUUAGUUUCAACUAUUAUUCAUCAUCGUCUCUGCCCUCCGCCAUAAGAGAUUUACAGUUUACACAGAAAAUUCAGGUGUAUUUUUACUGUAUGCAAUACUAAAUGUCAAAAUCAAUUGUCGCUGUGUGUUCCAUGAAGUUUACAAAAAUUAUCAGUUUGGAUAAAUAAUUGACAUUUUAUAAAAUUGUAAUAUACGAAAAAUAGCUUUAAUAAAUUACUUUUUAUCAUUUUCAUA